AAAAAGGAGAGCGGAUAAGAGGAAGUAUCCGUAUUCCACGUCAUCGGAAAAGUGGUUCGCGCCAUAUUCGGUCGCUUCUACACGUGGUACUUUUGCGGGCGGAAGAGGAAGUCUUUUUCGUGGUAACCGAGGGGCGAGCGCUACAUUCCCAUCGCAACCGGCCGUGACAGCUGCUUCGCAUGUGGAGAGUCUUCUCACUUCCGGCGCGAAUGUCCGUACGUCGCCAGAGGUCCGGGCACCAGCCACACAAUACACAUGGGUGAGAUACAGGCGCUACCGGAAGUCUUGGUGGACAGGAUGGAGCUACUCCCGGACAUAUUGCGAAAAAGCAGAGCAGGCAGUACAUGUUCAAUAUAUGAAUACGCAUUCAUGCGGUGGAGGAACUGGGCUUUGAGCAAUCAGCUGGGAGGUGGUGAGAUUCUGCCCGCGAACGCAUUUCCGGUUGCGUUGUAUUAAGUGUCAAUCAUACAUAGCGCUAUAACCCCAGCACCUGCUAUUUCUGCUUUUUAUGGAAUAAAAUGGAUUCAUGAUUUACAUGGAUUAAAUACUCCUAGGGUUAGGGUUAGGGCUAGAAUCUAAUAAUCUAAUAACCCAGAAUCUAAGUUAGUAAUGAACGUUUUAGAAGCAGCAAAAAGAAUUUUAUCUUGUCGAGUAGUAAAAAAAGAGCCUAUUACGGUUGAUAUAUUAAUAUCGAUGUACAAUCGUUUGUAUAAGGAAAAAGAUGUUAUGUCUCAAAGAAUUAUUGUUGCAAGUUUAUUAGGUUAUGCGGGGUUUAUGCGCAUUUCUGAAUUGUUACAAUUGAAAGUGUGCGAUAUAAUGUUUGAUAAUACAUAUAAGAAAGUGUUUAUUGAAUGCAGUAAAACAGCAAGUAUAGAGAUGGUUCUUGGAUAGUGAUUGCUAAAUCCGUAACUAUUUUAUUUCCGUAUGUGAAUUUGCAAAAGUAUAUUGAUUGGACUGGUUUAAAUGGUGAUGAUUUUCUGUUUUGUAAUUUAUCUAAGACAAAGACUGGAUAUAUACCAAGAAAGAAAAACCAAUUUAUGUCAUACACAAGCUUGCGUGAGCAGUUUUAAAAAGCAUUUAAACCGCAUGUUGAAGACAUUAAUAGUUUUUGUUUACAUUCGCUGAGAUCAGGAGGAGCAACUAGUGCUGCUAAUCAGGGUGUAAGGGACAGACUCUUUAAGAGACAUGGUCGGUGGUCUAGUGACAGUGCAAAAGACGGUUACGUGAAAGAUUAUAUUGAAGCUAGAUUAUUAGUUUCUAAAUCACUUGGACUAUGAUAUUUAAACUUAGUGUUAUUGAAUUCUUGUCAUUCAUAUAUCAUAUUGCCCGAACUUUUAUUUCAUCCGGUAGUAUGCAGGCUUAACCAAUAUAAAAGCUGUAUUUUUCA
Dreissena polymorpha is the source of this 1387-nucleotide long non-coding RNA. RefSeq lists it as uncharacterized. The record is from RefSeq and is a predicted model, not a curated record. The transcript is spliced from 2 exons. NCBI's taxonomy places the organism in Eukaryota, Metazoa, Mollusca, Bivalvia, Myida, Dreissenidae.